UACAGGGGGUGCAAACGUUGCUCGGAAUCAUUGGGCGUAAAGCGCACGUAGGCGGUUUGUUAUGUCGGAUGUGAAAGCCCUUGGCUCAACUGAGGAAGUGCAUCCGAAACUGGCAAGCUAGAGUACUAAAGAGGAUCGCGGAAUUCCCGGUGUAGAGGUGAAAUUCGUAGAUAUUCGCAAGAACACCAGUGGCGAAGGCGGCUUACUGGUCCGGUUCUGACGCUGAGGCGCGAAAGCGUGGGGAGCAAACAGG
Molecule: ribosomal RNA, 253 nt
Filed under: uncultured bacterium
Lineage: Bacteria
Description: partial 16S ribosomal RNA
Rfam family: Bacterial small subunit ribosomal RNA
Source: RNAcentral